Molecule: ribosomal RNA, 624 nt
Filed under: Streptomyces sp. A66
Lineage: Bacteria; Bacillati; Actinomycetota; Actinomycetes; Kitasatosporales; Streptomycetaceae
Description: bacterial SSU rRNA
Rfam family: Bacterial small subunit ribosomal RNA
Source: RNAcentral
CCCAAAUUGCUCAAGGCGACGACGGGUAGCCGGCCUGAGAGGGCGACCGGCCACACUGGGACUGAGACACGGCCCAGACUCCUACGGGAGGCAGCAGUGGGGAAUAUUGCACAAUGGGCGAAAGCCUGAUGCAGCGACGCCGCGUGAGGGAUGACGGCCUUCGGGUUGUAAACCUCUUUCAGCAGGGAAGAAGCGAAAGUGACGGUACCUGCAGAAGAAGCGCCGGCUAACUACGUGCCAGCAGCCGCGGUAAUACGUAGGGCGCAAGCGUUGUCCGGAAUUAUUGGGCGUAAAGAGCUCGUAGGCGGCUUGUCACGUCGGUUGUGAAAGCCCGGGGCUUAACCCCGGGUCUGCAGUCGAUACGGGCAGGCUAGAGUUCGGUAGGGGAGAUCGGAAUUCCUGGUGUAGCGGUGAAAUGCGCAGAUAUCAGGAGGAACACCGGUGGCGAAGGCGGAUCUCUGGGCCGAUACUGACGCUGAGGAGCGAAAGCGUGGGGAGCGAACAGGAUUAGAUACCCUGGUAGUCCACGCCGUAAACGGUGGGCACUAGGUGUGGGCAACAUUCCACGUUGUCCGUGCCGCAGCUAACGCAUUAAGUGCCCGCGGGGAGGAGAGACGGGACCGG